UCUCCUCCCAACAUAAACACUUCUUUCUUCUUUACCUCUGUUUAGACGCAGCCAACACUAUGUAGUCUCCCGGCUUCUCUCAAUUCUAAAAAGCCCAAAACCUCUCUCACUCCGUCAGUGGCAAAGACAAAAAAAGAGAUCUGAGAUCUGAGGGCUGCCACCAUGUUGAAACAUCACCCACCUUCAACCCAGCUUCCCGCCAUAUACCGCUGUAACUGCUACCAGUGCAGUUGAACAAUGAAGAAAAAAGAAAAGAAUGGCGAGAUCGAAGACAUCUACAACCCAACUUAGAGAGGAAGCAGAGAAUGCGAAGGAAGAAUCAAAUGGGUUUCUUUUGAAUUGUAUGUACCCAGUUGAUUUUUCGCACACUUUGUCAGUCAAGUACUAAUAGACUGAGAAGCUAAAGCUAAGGGUCCUCCAACUCAUGAAAAGUAUGCAAGACUUGUGUUACUUUCUCAUUGUGUUUCUUCCAACCCAGAUGGAUACAAGAAGAGAGAAGCUUUGACUUGGGGUUGAUGGUCAUUAGUGAAGAGCUUCCAAAUCCAAGUUUUCAAUAUAUAUUCUCUCUGGAUCUGCUUUUAAUUUUUGAUACUCUGCAUUGUUUUUGGGUGGUACUAGGUUUGGUGUUGUUGGCACCUGAGAAGCUCAUUGCUUAGAAGCUUGUGGAAGAGGAGGCCAAACAGAAGUUCAAGUGGGAGUCCAAGAAGGAAAAAUACUUGGUAACAAGUCUCAUACUGGACUGUAUUGUUCAAGAGCUACAGCUGCAUUAAGGUUGCACCAAUUAAAUGCUACUGAAUUUAGAGAUACAAUAAUUAUUGAUGUACUGUAAUAGUUAGCUAGUAGAGAUUAGCAAAUAUUAAGGUAGUUGGCAUUUAAUAGGAUUACUGUUUUUUCUUGAUCAAAAGAAAUCAUUUUCAGUUCAUGCUUUAGGUAGAGACUUGGCAGUGCAUAAAGAUUGAAGAAUGUCUUGAUUUGGUCCGAUGAAAGUUUUGGUUUUA
This is a long non-coding RNA of Quercus lobata, 998 nucleotides long. RefSeq lists it as uncharacterized. Lineage: Eukaryota; Viridiplantae; Streptophyta; Magnoliopsida; Fagales; Fagaceae. The record is from RefSeq and is a predicted model, not a curated record. The transcript is spliced from 4 exons.